Molecule: ribosomal RNA, 200 nt
Filed under: uncultured bacterium
Lineage: Bacteria
Description: partial 16S ribosomal RNA
Rfam family: Bacterial small subunit ribosomal RNA
Source: RNAcentral
UACGGAGGGAGCUAGCGUUAUUCGGAAUUACUGGGCGUAAAGCGCACGUAGGCGGCUUGUAAGUUAGAGGUGAAAGCCUGGAGCUCAACUCCAGAACUGCCUUUAAGACUGCAUCGCUUGAAUCCAGGAGAGGUGAGUGGAAUUCCGAGUGUAGAGGUGAAAUUCGUAGAUAUUCGGAAGAACACCAGUGGCGGAAGGCG